Aquila chrysaetos chrysaetos is the source of this 978-nucleotide long non-coding RNA. RefSeq lists it as uncharacterized. Lineage: Eukaryota; Metazoa; Chordata; Aves; Accipitriformes; Accipitridae. The transcript has 2 exons. The record is from RefSeq and is a predicted model, not a curated record.
GAUGAAUGCUCUUAGGAAAAAAGUCCUUAAAAGUUGUAGAAUAGGUUGCAAACUGUUCAAGUGGUGCUGGCUUUGUCAUCCAGCCAGAUGCUAUCGAUUGGUCUGUAGCGCACAUUGGUUCUGUAAGUAAUUAGAAUAUAAAGCCAAAUGAUUUGGCAGCUGGAUUGAGCAUUUGUACUCAGUUUCCCUCCACUCAUGGCCUUAGACAGCCAUCUGACAUUUGUAAAAGUCAGGUGUUUCCUGUAAAAUAUGAACACUGCUGUGUCUCUUUUGGCAUGGUGGGUGCAAGUAUGUUAAUACCUGCAAAUAAUUGGGGUCCAUAGCAUGCCAUAGCUCCUAAGUGUAACCUGCAGUCACAUUGCUUUGAGACUUGCCGCUAUCUGAGCAGAAUAGCUUUUGUGAGGUCAACUUGGCUCUUGCUGACUUUCUCUGAGGGAUGCAUAUACUGCUUGUUUCUCACAAUUUACGGCUGAAUUAUACUUCACAACGGAUUUUUGAAGCAGCCCUGGAGGAGUGGUAACUUAUUUUAGAACUGUGGUUGUAGCCUGGAAAAUACAGUGCUGCCAAGAAAUACUGCAACGUUUAAUGGUCUGUCUGCUGACGGGUCAACCCAGGGUUGUCUAACUGUUUUGGUUGGUUUUUUUUAAGUAGCUUGCGAUACGUCUUUUGCUUCUACAGUAAUUUAACUAACAAUAAAAACUUGCAGAUAGAAAGCAGCAUCCUAAUCUUUUCUUGUAAAUGCAGGCUGGUUUAGCUUAAGACCAAAAAGUGUCCUGCUCCCUGUUGCACUCCCACACCCUGGCCUCACUAAGGAAGCCUUUGUAUUAAUUUACCAAAAGUAGUUUUGCUGAGGUGUCACUCCAUUGAUGUUUCUGCAUAGAAGUCCUGCAUUAGAAUCUGUAAACCAAUCACCUGAUACCUUACUGUGGCGCUGUAAACUCAGUUAGACAGUGAGUAGCAGUGACUCUUUGGUUUGAA